RNAcentral lists this ribosomal RNA (424 nucleotides) under uncultured bacterium. RNAcentral's name for it is "bacterial SSU rRNA". It matches the Rfam family "Bacterial small subunit ribosomal RNA", at positions 355 to 776 of the family's 1533-position model. The record is from RNAcentral.
UGAGGAAUAUUGGUCAAUGGACGAGAGUCUGAACCAGCCAUGCCGCGUGAAGGAUGAAGGCGUUCUGCGUUGUAAACUUCUUUUAUCAGGGAAGACACCUCAGAUUUCUAUUUGAGCCGACGGUACCUGAUGAAUAAGCACCGGCUAACUCCGUGCCAGCAGCCGCGGUAAUACGGAGGGUGCAAGCGUUAUCCGGAUUCACUGGGUUUAAAGGGUGUGUAGGCGGGCUAUUAAGUCAGUGGUGAAAUCUCCGGGCUCAACUCGGAAACUGCCAUUGAUACUAUUAGUCUUGAAUAUUGUUGAGGUUGGCGGAAUAUGUCAUGUAGCGGUGAAAUGCUUAGAUAUGACAUAGAACACCGAUUGCGAAGGCAGCUAGCUAAACAAUGAUUGACGCUGAGGCACGAAAGCGUGGGGAUCAAACAGG